Molecule: ribosomal RNA, 2795 nt
Filed under: Klebsiella pneumoniae
Lineage: Bacteria; Pseudomonadati; Pseudomonadota; Gammaproteobacteria; Enterobacterales; Enterobacteriaceae
Description: 23S ribosomal RNA
Rfam family: Bacterial large subunit ribosomal RNA
Source: RNAcentral
GGUUAAGCGACUAAGCGUACACGGUGGAUGCCCUGGCAGUCAGAGGCGAUGAAGGACGUGCUAAUCUGCGAAAAGCGUCGGUAAGGUGAUAUGAACCGUUAUAACCGGCGAUGUCCGAAUGGGGAAACCCAGUGCAAUUCGUUGCACUAUCGUUAACUGAAUACAUAGGUUAACGAGGCGAACCGGGGGAACUGAAACAUCUAAGUACCCCGAGGAAAAGAAAUCAACCGAGAUUCCCCCAGUAGCGGCGAGCGAACGGGGAGCAGCCCAGAGUCUGAAUCAGCUUGUGUGUUAGUGGAACGGUCUGGAAAGUCCGACGGUACAGGGUGAUAGUCCCGUACACCAAAAUGCACAGGUUGUGAACUCGAAGAGUAGGGCGGGACACGUGGUAUCCUGUCUGAAUAUGGGGGGACCAUCCUCCAAGGCUAAAUACUCCUGACUGACCGAUAGUGAACCAGUACCGUGAGGGAAAGGCGAAAAGAACCCCGGCGAGGGGAGUGAAAAAGAACCUGAAACCGUGUACGUACAAGCAGUGGGAGCACCUUCGGGUGUGACUGCGUACCUUUUGUAUAAUGGGUCAGCGACUUAUAUUCUGUAGCAAGGUUAACCGUAUAGGGGAGCCGCAGGGAAACCGAGUCUUAACUGGGCGUUAAGUUGCAGGGUAUAGACCCGAAACCCGGUGAUCUAGCCAUGGGCAGGUUGAAGGUUGGGUAACACUAACUGGAGGACCGAACCGACUAAUGUUGAAAAAUUAGCGGAUGACUUGUGGCUGGGGGUGAAAGGCCAAUCAAACCGGGAGAUAGCUGGUUCUCCCCGAAAGCUAUUUAGGUAGCGCCUCGUGAACUCAUCUUCGGGGGUAGAGCACUGUUUCGGCUAGGGGGUCAUCCCGACUUACCAACCCGAUGCAAACUACGAAUACCGAAGAAUGUUAUCACGGGAGACACACGGCGGGUGCUAACGUCCGUCGUGAAGAGGGAAACAACCCAGACCGCCAGCUAAGGUCCCAAAGUCAUGGUUAAGUGGGAAACGAUGUGGGAAGGCACAGACAGCCAGGAUGUUGGCUUAGAAGCAGCCAUCAUUUAAAGAAAGCGUAAUAGCUCACUGGUCGAGUCGGCCUGCGCGGAAGAUGUAACGGGGCUAAACCAUGCACCGAAGCUGCGGCAGCGACACUAUGUGUUGUUGGGUAGGGGAGCGUUCUGUAAGCCUGCGAAGGUGUGCUGUGAGGCAUGCUGGAGGUAUCAGAAGUGCGAAUGCUGACAUAAGUAACGAUAAAGCGGGUGAAAAGCCCGCUCGCCGGAAGACCAAGGGUUCCUGUCCAACGUUAAUCGGGGCAGGGUGAGUCGACCCCUAAGGCGAGGCCGAAAGGCGUAGUCGAUGGGAAACAGGUUAAUAUUCCUGUACUUGGUGUUACUGCGAAGGGGGGACGGAGAAGGCUAUGUUAGCCGGGCGACGGUUGUCCCGGUUUAAGCAUGUAGGCUGAUUGUCCAGGCAAAUCCGGAUAAUCAAGGCUGAGGUGUGAUGACGAGGCACUACGGUGCUGAAGUAACAAAUGCCCUGCUUCCAGGAAAAGCCUCUAAGCAUCAGGUAACAUCAAAUCGUACCCCAAACCGACACAGGUGGUCAGGUAGAGAAUACCAAGGCGCUUGAGAGAACUCGGGUGAAGGAACUAGGCAAAAUGGUGCCGUAACUUCGGGAGAAGGCACGCUGGUGUGUAGGUGAAGUCCCUGCGGAUGGAGCUGAGACCAGUCGAAGAUACCAGCUGGCUGCAACUGUUUAUUAAAAACACAGCACUGUGCAAACACGAAAGUGGACGUAUACGGUGUGACGCCUGCCCGGUGCCGGAAGGUUAAUUGAUGGGGUUAUCCGUAAGGAGAAGCUCUUGAUCGAAGCCCCGGUAAACGGCGGCCGUAACUAUAACGGUCCUAAGGUAGCGAAAUUCCUUGUCGGGUAAGUUCCGACCUGCACGAAUGGCGUAAUGAUGGCCAGGCUGUCUCCACCCGAGACUCAGUGAAAUUGAACUCGCUGUGAAGAUGCAGUGUACCCGCGGCAAGACGGAAAGACCCCGUGAACCUUUACUAUAGCUUGACACUGAACAUUGAGCCUUGAUGUGUAGGAUAGGUGGGAGGCUUUGAAGCGUGGACGCCAGUCUGCGUGGAGCCAACCUUGAAAUACCACCCUUUAAUGUUUGAUGUUCUAACGUUGGCCCCUGACCGGGGUUGCGGACAGUGUCUGGUGGGUAGUUUGACUGGGGCGGUCUCCUCCCAAAGCGUAACGGAGGAGCACGAAGGUUAGCUAAUCCUGGUCGGACAUCAGGAGGUUAGUGCAAUGGCAUAAGCUAGCUUGACUGCGAGCGUGACGGCGCGAGCAGGUGCGAAAGCAGGUCAUAGUGAUCCGGUGGUUCUGAAUGGAAGGGCCAUCGCUCAACGGAUAAAAGGUACUCCGGGGAUAACAGGCUGAUACCGCCCAAGAGUUCAUAUCGACGGCGGUGUUUGGCACCUCGAUGUCGGCUCAUCACAUCCUGGGGCUGAAGUAGGUCCCAAGGGUAUGGCUGUUCGCCAUUUAAAGUGGUACGCGAGCUGGGUUUAGAACGUCGUGAGACAGUUCGGUCCCUAUCUGCCGUGGGCGCUGGAGAAUUGAGGGGGGCUGCUCCUAGUACGAGAGGACCGGAGUGGACGCAUCACUGGUGUUCGGGUUGUCAUGCCAAUGGCACUGCCCGGUAGCUAAAUGCGGAAGAGAUAAGUGCUGAAAGCAUCUAAGCACGAAACUUGCCCCGAGAUGAGUUCUCCCUGAGACUA